UACGUAGGGGGCAAGUGUUAUCCGGAUUUACUGGGUGUAAAGGGAGCGUAGGCGGCGGAGCAAGUCAGAAGUGAAAGCCCGGGGCUCAACCCCGGGACGGCUUUUGAAACUGCCCUGCUUGAUUUCAGGAGAGGUAAGCGGAAUUCCUAGUGUAGCGGUGAAAUGCGUAGAUAUUAGGAGGAACACCAGUGGCGAAGGCGGCUUACUGGACUGACAAUGACGCUGAGGCUCGAAAGCGUGGGGAGCAAACAGG
RNAcentral lists this ribosomal RNA (253 nucleotides) under Pseudocoprococcus catus. RNAcentral describes it as "Coprococcus catus partial 16S ribosomal RNA". It matches the Rfam family "Bacterial small subunit ribosomal RNA", at positions 524 to 776 of the family's 1533-position model. The record is from RNAcentral. Lineage: Bacteria; Bacillati; Bacillota; Clostridia; Lachnospirales; Lachnospiraceae.